GACGAACGCUGGCGGCGUGCUUAACACAUGCAAGUCGAACGGAAAGGCCCUGCUUGCAGGGUACUCGAGUGGCGAACGGGUGAGUAACACGUGGGUGAUCUGCCCUGCACUUCGGGAUAAGCCUGGGAAACUGGGUCUAAUACCGGAUAGGAGCCAUUUUUCGUGUGAUGGUUGGAAAGUUUUUUCGGUGUAGGAUGAGCUCGCGGCCUAUCAGCUUGUUGGUGGGGUAAUGGCCUACCAAGGCGGCGACGGGUAGCCGGCCGGAGAGAGUGGACGGCCACAUUGGGACUGAGAUACGGCCCAGACGCCGACGGGAGGCAGCAGUGGGGAAGAUUGCACAAUGGGCGCAAGCCGGAUGCAGCGACGCCGCGUGGGGGAUGACGGCCUUCGGGUUGUAGACUACUUGCGCUAGGGACGAAGCUUUUUGUGACGGUACCUAGAGAAGAAGCACCGGCUAACUACGUG
Molecule: ribosomal RNA, 465 nt
Filed under: uncultured bacterium
Lineage: Bacteria
Description: partial 16S ribosomal RNA
Rfam family: Bacterial small subunit ribosomal RNA
Source: RNAcentral